RNAcentral lists this ribosomal RNA (763 nucleotides) under Usnochroma carphineum. RNAcentral describes it as "LSU rRNA". It matches the Rfam family "Eukaryotic large subunit ribosomal RNA", at positions 165 to 944 of the family's 3401-position model. The record is from RNAcentral. Lineage: Eukaryota; Fungi; Ascomycota; Lecanoromycetes; Teloschistales; Teloschistaceae.
CGGGCGCGGCGCCGGUNUAAGUUCCUUGGAACGGGGCGUCAUAGAGGGUGAGAAUCCCGUAUGUGACCGGCGAUCAAGCCCAUGUGAAACUCCUUCGACGAGUCGAGUUGUUUGGGAAUGCAGCUCAAAAUGGGUGGUAAAUUUCAUCUAAAGCUAAAUACCGGCCAGAGACCGAUAGCGAACAAGUAGAGUGAUCGAAAGAUGAAAAGCACUUUGGAAAGAGAGUCAAAAAGUACGUGAAAUUGUUGAAAGGGAAGCGCUUGCAACCAGACCUGCCCGCGGGCGAUCAGCCGUCUUUCUAAGGCGGUGUACUCGACCGCGAUCAGGCCAGCAUCGGUUCGGGCGGUCGGAUAAAGGCCUUGGGAACGUAGCUCCUGUCGGGGAGUGUUACAGCCCUUGGUGCAAUGCGGCCCGCCUGGACCGAGGACCGCGCUUCGGCUAGGAUGCUGGCGUAAUGGUUGUAAGCGGCCCGUCUUGAAACACGGACCAAGGAGUCUAACAUCUAUGCGAGUGUUUGGGUGUCGAAACCCAUGCGCGGAAUGAAAGUGAAUGGAGGUGGGAACCCUGAAGGGGGCACCAUCGACCGAUCCAGAUGUCUUCGGAUGGAUUUGAGUACGAGCAUAGCUGUUGGGACCCGAAAGAUGGUGAACUAUGCCUGAAUAGGGUGAAGCCAGAGGAAACUCUGGUGGAGGCUCGCAGCGGUUCUGACGUGCAAAUCGAUCGUCAAAUUUGGGUAUAGGGGCGAAAGACUAAUCGAACUAUC